Molecule: long non-coding RNA, 1448 nt
Organism: Brienomyrus brachyistius
Lineage: Eukaryota; Metazoa; Chordata; Actinopteri; Osteoglossiformes; Mormyridae
Exons: 2
Source: RefSeq, a predicted model, not a curated record
CAGACCCUGCGGACACACAGAGACGGCCGGUCAGGGCCAGGGGGGGUGGGCAGAGGGAGGAAGUGGCACUCCCUCAAACGGGACUUUCACUGCGGAUGCAGCAGCUCCCCGACCAUCAAAACAAUCCGGACACGCGGCCCAUAUCUGCGUGCCUGGCGGCUGGCAGCUCGUCUGGAAAAGGACUCCAGUGAGCGAAUGCCCAUCUGCUGUGGAGCCUGCGGGACCCCCAGACACUCACAGCAUCUCUCAACACCACAUCAGAAGUAUCAGCUUCCCUGCAGAGCUCUGCCCCUCCAUCUCCAAGCUGGCCAAGCUCUUCACUUCCUCCCAUGAUGGCAGUAAUCAGAGAUGCUGUUGCGACUGAUGGCUCCCAAACUUGCUGAAGCUUGCCAGAUCACCACGAGGCACAUCCUGGUGCAUCAUGCUGUCGAUGGCUGCCCUAUUAGCCACCAGAGGGGUGGGUGCACCAGGGUGGGGGUGGGACCCUUGUGGAAAUGAUCAGUUACCCUCACACUGAGUAUUAGGAACAUUACCUGAUUUUACCUGAAGGUCUAACACUUACCUUUUCACUGUGUGUGGUUUUCACUGAUUGCCAAAAUUACAGAGGUAGCCUUUAGUAACACUGUUUAUAAGCUGUAGCAUCUGUAGAAGGAAUUCAUUUUGUUGAGUCCAAAACACAGCUAGCAUAAUAAAGGCUUGUGGAAGUAAAAUUGGACAUCGGUAGGCCCGGGAGGGAGGCAUAUUGGGUCUGUUAUGUCUUAGGCAAGAAGAGAUUGUUUUGAAUGCUGUCUGGCCUCACUUCAUGAUAGCUGCCUGCGGUUAGUUCCACAGACCCUGAAGAAAGCUCGGACCUUGGAGAGACAGACAACGGAGCAAGGGGGGGGGGGGUGGCGGGGGACCACCUGCAGGAAGAGAUUCGAAGCUGACCCAACUGGUGCACGAGUUAUAGCUUGAUAAAAUAGUUGCAGCAGACAAUAUAUAGUAUGUUACAUGGGAAUGCAAAAGUAUAAGUAAUCAUACUAAUCAUAUGUUACCCAUGUAUUUGCAGUGAUUCAAUGACAAUACGUCAAUGUGUUAAUCAUUAAUCUAUGGAACACCCAAACAUUAAUAGUGAUUCAACGUCAUAUGAUCAAUAUCUAUAUACAUAUCUCAAGUAGAGUCUAGAAGCCGAGACAGAUUCCGGUAAACUGAGCUAGAUGGGGGGGUUUUAGCUUGCUACCAAGGUGAACCAACAGAGCAGGAGAAUUGUGUUUGUUAUACGUUUGAGCUCGGUUAGUUGGUGUUUCGUGACCAAUCAGGACUUAGACGUCCUUAUGGGGAAUUGGGAGUUAUGGUUUAUCAGCUGGUCGCUCUGUGAGCUCCGGGUGACUUGGUACUGAGUGCCAGAGUGUGAUGGGAGCGCUUUGCUGGAAUUCCCGGAAUAAAAGAGAUUUUCUUUACUCACCAAA